Molecule: long non-coding RNA, 577 nt
Filed under: Physcomitrium patens
Lineage: Eukaryota; Viridiplantae; Streptophyta; Bryopsida; Funariales; Funariaceae
Description: long non-coding RNA (PPAT_LNC005187)
Source: RNAcentral
GUUGAAAAGGUAGUUCAGUAGGUAAAAUGGAUGAAUAGUUAGGAAAAGCAGUUUUCAUUAGAGAUGUAGCAGUUGGUAUCUCGUGGUAGCAUAAAGAGGAUGGGAGAGAGGAAGUAAGGGCGAGAUUGUGAUAGUAUGAGCUGGAAUAAGCUUGGUGUUGUCUCUUAUUUUUUUUGUUUUGUUGUUUAAAGUUCUGAAUACUGUGAAAAGAAUUCGUGGAAUAAAUCAGGGAAAUGAUUUAUGAGAUAUUGGGUGUGUAACUGAAGUAUUGUGUGAUUGAAGGAGAGAAAUUUGGAAGUUGUUAUCAGAUUCUGUGAAGAUUGGUUAUAACUGGAAGAUUAUGAUCAUGGUUAAUUGAAAAUUGUGUGUAUUUGGACCGAGGAAAUCUGGAAAAACAGAAAUUGUGUAAAGCCAAAUUAAUUGAGUAAGAUUGGUUAUUCCUGAUGUUGGAUGGAAUUUAUGUGUUUUGUGUGGACUUUUGAGAUAGUACAGAUUGCAUUUAGUGGUUAUCGGUUAAUGAAAGGGUUUCAUUAGCAGAAAAAAGUCUUAUAGUAUUUCUUCAUUGUUUUAAGUAGUG